ACCUGCGGAAGGAUCAUUACCGAG
RNAcentral lists this ribosomal RNA (24 nucleotides) under Diplodia sp. M17-3-98. RNAcentral describes it as "partial 18S ribosomal RNA". The record is from RNAcentral. Lineage: Eukaryota; Fungi; Ascomycota; Dothideomycetes; Botryosphaeriales; Botryosphaeriaceae.